GACGAACGCUGGCGGCGUGGAUUAGGCAUGCAAGUCGGACGGUAGGGCUUUAUCGUAAGAUAGAGUUUGAGAGUGGCGAACGGGUGAGUAACACGUAGGAAUCUACCCUUAAGACGGGGACAACCCAGGGAAACUUGGGCUAAUACCGGAUGAGAGUGCGAGAGAUUGCAUUUAAAAGGAUGGCGAAAGUUGUCGCUUAGGGAUGAGCCUGCGGUCUAUUAGUUAGUUGGUGAGGUAAGAGCUCACCAAGGCGAUGAUAGAUAGGCGGCCUUAACGGGUGGUCGCCCACACUGGGAUUGAGACACGGACCAGACUCCUACGGGAGGCAGCAGUGAGGAAUAUUGGUCAAUGGGCGCAAGCCUGAACCAGCCAUGCCGCGUGAAGGAAUAAGGCCCUAAUGGGUUGUAAACUUCUUUUGUAAAGGGGCGAAACCUCCCGAACGUGUUCGGGACUGACAGUACCUUACGAAUAAGCAACGGCUAAACUCCGUGCCAGCAGCCGCGGUAAAACUACUCGUAA
RNAcentral lists this ribosomal RNA (519 nucleotides) under uncultured bacterium. RNAcentral describes it as "bacterial SSU rRNA". It matches the Rfam family "Bacterial small subunit ribosomal RNA", at positions 28 to 537 of the family's 1533-position model. The record is from RNAcentral.